Long non-coding RNA from Zingiber officinale, 1687 nucleotides. RefSeq lists it as uncharacterized. The transcript has 3 exons. The record is from RefSeq and is a predicted model, not a curated record. NCBI's taxonomy places the organism in Eukaryota, Viridiplantae, Streptophyta, Magnoliopsida, Zingiberales, Zingiberaceae.
GAGGGGGAGUGUUAGAAUAAGUAUAGGGGUAGUUUGGUCUUUUGGCUUCUUUCUUCUUUUCUAUAUAAAGGCCUAACUCGUGGUUCCUAAAUAUACGAGAUUUUAGGUUUUACUUUGUAGAGUAACCAACUCGGCUUUGCCCAGGGCAAUUCCAAAAGCAAUCUUGCUACUAUGUGUAGAUGCCCAGGUUUCUUAACAUUGAAGAUGCAGAACAAGAGUAUUCCUGUUGCAUUUAUUGAUUUUGAGGUACUAAGAUAAACCCAUACACUUUCAUUAUGGAGUCAAUAAAUGACUACCUGUAUAAGUGUACUUGUUUUGAUCCUUAUUCUUUUAGUUUCCUUAUUUUUUGUGCAAAUCCGAGUGAAAGAUAGUAUAUUAGGCAGUUAAAAGCUAUAGACACUUCUCAUCAUUGACUCCAAAUAUAUUGCUUUCAGUAAUCAACUGUCAACACAUUCUAGUAGUUGUCUUGAUAAACCUAGCGUGAAAUUGUUUUUGCCACGUUGGUACAAGUAUUCAAAAUAGUUAUCAAUCCGAUUGUUUGACAUGACUAUUUCUAACUUUUUUUUAACAUUAUUAAAAGAAAGUGUCCACUGGGAGUGUCAAAUGUCCUGAGCGUCGGGUGUCCAACACGGGUAUAGAUAGGGUAGACGAAGAGUCCAAGUAUCAUAGGGGUAUAGGAGGAUUGAAAGGGAGUUUAGCUUCAACAAUAACUCUUCCUUUUGUAUUCUGAAAUCAGCAUCCUUGAGUCAAUUCAUCAUAAGGCUACAAUCUCACUGGAAAUUUCAUUGGACUGUAAUUCCUUGUUGAAUGUGGUUUUCUGCAAUGAAACCGGAUGUCGGUAGUUCUACCGCUGCUUUAAAUCAUCUGCAAGGAACCUUUCUUCUCUCAUCAGUAAGGAACGGCAUGUGGUUGGAGUAUCCUUUUCAGUAUGAUCUUCCUAAUUUCUUGCUAGUAGAUAAGUGGCACAACAGCUUCUCGUGCAUGGCAAUUAAAUCAUGUACUUGAGAAAGCAAGCAAAGUCCUGCUGAUGGCCAAGUUGGACUGUGGCAGAUCAGGAGCAGCUUGUGAGAGAAGCGUGUGAGGUGGACAGUGACACGGCACCAAACACUGUUCUUCAUUGAUCCUUCCUUCAUCGUGAUCGAUGGUAUAAAAACUUAAUAAAUGAAUUAAAUAAAGUUCAUCCAUCAAAUUCCUUUUGGCAGGAGAAAUAAUGACAGAGACUUCACCUCCUGCCUAAAGCAAACUCAGGAAUAUUAAUUACUUAACUCCUCCACCUCCUCGAGAAGCUAGCAGCCAUGGAGCAUCAUUGGAUACAUCAGUAGGAUCCAGUACUCCUCAUGGCCUGGUUUGGCUCCCUCUUCUCUCCUCUCAGGAAGCUUUGGCUCACCUUGCGUUCUGCUCGCAGCAGCAAGAAGACGAAGGGGAUUUCUAUCCUGUACGAGGACGUGAAGUCCUGUCAGUGCGAGGAUGUGCAGAUCUUGUGGUCUAUCCUUGUGGAAUCAUCUCAUUCUCCUUCUUCCAGAUUGAAGCAGUGAUGAUCUGCGAAUAGAAUAACUUAUGUAUCAGAGGAUGAUGAGCUUUGUCUGCCAUAGUUUCUCUGUAAAAAAGUAGUUUUUAAUAAUAUUUUCUUUAAAAAAAUCUUGAAUAUAAUGUCUUCUGUUCUUGUGCUUGCAGAAAAAAUGCUUUA